This is a non-coding RNA of Pelobates cultripes (western spadefoot toad), 246 nucleotides long. The record is from the annotation of a GenBank genome assembly. NCBI's taxonomy places the organism in Eukaryota, Metazoa, Chordata, Amphibia, Anura, Pelobatidae.
AAGGCACAAUGCAACACAUACGUCUGGCCCCUUCCCCCAACUGCAAUGGAUCAACUCUUUAUCUUAUAACAUAGACACAUGCUCCACCCUUUCCCUGGGGCCAUGGCUGAGGAAUGAAACCUCAUUCAAACAGCCCCAUCACAGUCACAGCUAAGGCUUGUGUAAUGUUCAUUACUGUCAGACUGCCUUGCCCUUAACACAAUUUCAGUGCCACAGGCAGGGAAGUGGAUGACAAUACAAUGCUUU